RNAcentral lists this ribosomal RNA (451 nucleotides) under uncultured bacterium. Its description in RNAcentral is "partial 16S ribosomal RNA". It matches the Rfam family "Bacterial small subunit ribosomal RNA", at positions 354 to 796 of the family's 1533-position model. The record is from RNAcentral.
GUGGGGAAUAUUGGACAAUGGGGGGAACCCUGAUCCAGCCAUGCCGCGUGUGUGAAGAAGGCCUUUUGGUUGUAAAGCACUUUAAGCGAGGAGGAGGCUACCGAGAUUAAUACUCUUGGAUAGUGGACGUUACUCGCAGAAUAAGCACCGGCUAACUCUGUGCCAGCAGCCGCGGUAAUACAGAGGGUGCAAGCGUUAAUCGGAUUUACUGGGCGUAAAGCGCGCGCAGGUGGCCAAUUAAGUCAAAUGUGAAAUCCCCGAGCUUAACUUGGGAAUUGCAUUCGAUACUGGUUGGCUAGAGUAUGGGAGAGGAUGGUAGAAUUCCAGGUGUAGCGGUGAAAUGCGUAGAGAUCUGGAGGAAUACCGAUGGCGAAGGCAGCCAUCUGGCCUAAUACUGACACUGAGGUGCGAAAGCAUGGGGAGCAAACAGGAUUAGAAACCCCGGUAGUCC